AUGAUUUAUCCCACCGUUAUUAGUUGCAAUUUCUUCCUCACUAAUGGAAUCUGCAAAUUAUGGCUCAACUAUUGAGAAAUUGCAAAAGGAGGUGGUCGAGCUUAGUCGAGAAAAAACCCUAAUAUUUUGGGGCUAUUUGAAAAUGUGGAGCUUGGAUUAAUAGAAGGAGGUGGUUGUUUCAGGUGGAGGAGAUAAAGUUUAUGGGUGAAGAAAAAAAAAAUCAAAUCUUGGAACUAGUCAAAGAGCUGGAAUGAUUUUGUUGACGGGCGGGAUGGUGGUUGUUAUUGACGGGCGUAGAAGGAGGUGGUUAUUGGCGUUCAUAGCUUUUACAUAGUCGGAGGUUCUACUGCAGACGUUGGCGGCAGGAUGGCGGCAGAGUCGGCGGUUGAUGGCUGCCUUUCGAUAGUUCUUACAGAGUCGUUGUUCUGGGUGAAGUCCCUUUUGAGAGG
This 449-nucleotide long non-coding RNA is filed under the name Nicotiana tabacum (common tobacco). RNAcentral describes it as "long non-coding RNA (NTAB_LNC019108)". The record is from RNAcentral. Lineage: Eukaryota; Viridiplantae; Streptophyta; Magnoliopsida; Solanales; Solanaceae.